UCUGCAUAGGUGAAAGUUAUUGGACUCAAGU
Molecule: non-coding RNA, 31 nt
Filed under: Rattus norvegicus (Norway rat)
Lineage: Eukaryota; Metazoa; Chordata; Mammalia; Rodentia; Muridae
Source: RNAcentral